CAAGAAAGGAACGACAUUGCGACAAAUUGAGACGUAGCACCGAUCUAAACGAAGAUCGUUACGAAACGUAUCGUUCUAAGAAAUUUGUAGAACCUAAUCGUGGAUAGACACAAAUUCGGUAAUACCCAACAAAGCGGUUUAGAUGAGUCAUUCGAGAAGUAAUUACGGACUAAGCGGAACCAAGCAAGAACCUCUUACGUUUACGCAAAAAACUCCUUUUGGGUCCGUGGUCGAGAGCAAAAUCCUUGAGUGUUACCGGAAGUAACUCAUAGAAGAUAGAAGAGGAUAGAGGAUAUAGAAAAGGACGAAAAGGCGAAAGUUGGACGUUUUACGUGAGUGGGAUGAAAAUCCCAUUGGCGCGGCACGAUCAAUAAUACAGGUGCCGGCGUCUAGACAGCAGCGUUGCAGAGAA
Molecule: long non-coding RNA, 412 nt
Organism: Vespa velutina
Lineage: Eukaryota; Metazoa; Arthropoda; Insecta; Hymenoptera; Vespidae
Exons: 3
Source: RefSeq, a predicted model, not a curated record